GAUGAACGCUGGCGGCGUGCCUAAUACAUGCAAGUCGAGCGAACGGACGAGAAGCUUGCUUCUCUGAUGUUAGCGGCGGACGGGUGAGUAACACGUGGAUAACCUACCUAUAAGACUGGGAUAACUUCGGGAAACCGGAGCUAAUACCGGAUAAUAUUUUGAACCGCAUGGUUCAAAAGUGAAAGACGGUCUUGCUGUCACUUAUAGAUGGAUCCGCGCUGCAUUAGCUAGUUGGUAAGGUAACGGCUUACCAAGGCAACGAUGCAUAGCCGACCUGAGAGGGUGAUCGGCCACACUGGAACUGAGACACGGUCCAGACUCCUACGGGAGGCAACAGUAGGGAAUCUUCCGCAAUGGGCGAAAGCCUGACGGAGCAACGCCGCGUGAGUGAUGAAGGUCUUCGGACCGUAAAACUCUGUUAUUAGGGAAGAACAUAUGUGUAAGUAACUGUGCACAUCUUGACGGUACCUAAUCAGAAAGCCACGGCUAACUACGUG
This 497-nucleotide ribosomal RNA is filed under the name uncultured bacterium. RNAcentral describes it as "partial 16S ribosomal RNA". It matches the Rfam family "Bacterial small subunit ribosomal RNA", at positions 28 to 507 of the family's 1533-position model. The record is from RNAcentral.